This 2177-nucleotide unclassified non-coding RNA is filed under the name Anthonomus grandis grandis. Its description in RNAcentral is "tubulin epsilon chain-like". Lineage: Eukaryota; Metazoa; Arthropoda; Insecta; Coleoptera; Curculionidae. The record is from RNAcentral.
AGACGUCCCUUUAACUUUACCGGACCCAAUAAUUUGAUCUACAUUGAGUGAAAAAGUGGAAAUUGAUCGACAGGGAGUUGAGGCUUGGUACGGAACUUAAAUAAUCAUUUAAAAGCCCGUCUGGUCGUGCACCAGAGACUACUAACGGCUGCUGUCAUUACUUGUCAAAUUUACUAAUUUGAAUUUUGAUAAAAUAAAAAAUAUUAAAAAAAAAAAAACAGAAUAAAACUGAGUACAAUGAGCUUAUUUACUGAGAUCGCGUAUAUUAAUAAAAUAUAAAAGAAAUCGGAAUAGAACAAAAUUUAAUGUGAUAUUAUUGUGCCAAAUUAAUUAAAAAAUGAGUGAGUUUAUAGUCAUACAAGUGGGACAAUGUGGCAAUCAAAUAGGAAGUGCUAUGUGGCCCCAAAUUUUACAAGAAUACAAUGUGCCAAUUACCCCAACUACAAUACAGGAAACGCCAACUAUCAAAAAUCAGUCAGAUUACAGGUUUUCCUCAUUUUUCAAUGUAUCUAAGGCAAAGCAAGAUAUACAAUUUAAUUGCCUACAAGAUUUAAUCGACAAUAAAGUGAAGGCUCGGGCUAUAUGUAUAGAUAUGGAGGACAGUGUUGUCGCUAGGUUUAAAACUGGCAAACUUAAGGGCCUGUUUGAUGAUAAGUGUUUGGUUACCAAUUAUCCUGGUUCUGGAAAUAAUUGGGCAGAAGUGUUCAAAUCCUUAGGAUUUUGUGAACAUGGCCCUCAAUACCAAGAAGUAAUCUUAAAUUGUUUAAGACAUUCUGUGGAGAGAUGCGAUAGUUUACAUGGAUUUCUAACCAUGUUUUCUACUGGUGGAGGCACUGGGUCUGGCUUAGGAACAUUUGUUUUAAAUAUGUUAGCUGAUUUUUAUCCAAAAAUUGAGAGAUUUUCCACACCAGUAUACUCAACUGGGACAGAAGAUGUGAUAACUAGCCCAUACAAUAAUUUGCUGGCCACCCAAAAGUUGCUUGAACAUGCCACUUGCGUUUUUCCAGUAGAAAAUCGUUGUCUUUUAAACAUUGUGAACACAAAAUACAGGAAAACCUUUAUGGGUAAAGGAGGCCCACAUUUAACAAUGUUUAGCGCUACUGACGAUAUGAACCGUAUAGUUGUAGAUAUGCUUUUACACCUUACAAGUGGGUCCAGAUUUCCAGGCAGAUUGAAUUUUGAUAUGAACGAAAUAAACACCAACAUGGUUCCGUUUCCAGAAAUGAAGUUUAUUUCUAGCGGUUUUAAUCAUAUUACAACCAGUGGUGGAAUUACUGCAAAGUCUACAAGUUCCCGCCAAAAGGAAGAAAUGUUUUUAGCCGCAUGCCACCGAAGUAAUCAGCUGAUACAGGUAGAUCCUUUAGGGCCUAAAUCGGUCUUGUUAUCCUCGACGCUGAUAGGUCGUGGUGACUACAUUAUAACAGAUCUGCAAUCGCACAUCGAAAAGAUACAAGCCAAAGCGAAAUUUACGCCGUGGUCCAAAAAAUCGAUGAAACUGGCUUUGUGCAAUGUGGCGCCAAAUGGGCAAAAAGCCGCCUUAUUUUCACUGUUUAAUACUACGGCACUGAGCGGGUUGUUUGUACAUUUAAAGGGGCAUUUUGAUAGUUUAUUUAGAAAAAAGAUUCAUCCAUGCCAAAUUCAAGGAGAGGCCUUUAAGUAGAUACUAAACCUUCGGUUAACCUCCCAGGCUUAAUACAAGGCAAGUUAGAAUGAUCGUCGUAACUAGUGACUCCACGAGAGGCGAUCAUGAUUAUAAAGAAAUGACCACUUCUGAUUAAAUAAAGCAGCAGCCGACAACAGAAUAUGCUGAUGGAAUGAAAGUUGAAAACUGCACCCAGGUCUUUAGUAAUACUAUAGAUGGAUCCUAGAUGGACAAUAUGGGUGGCAAAAUAGGGUAGCAUUUCGUUUUUUUGGUAGAAAAUUUAAAAAAAUUAAUACUUCAAAAUAUGCUUUCUAUUUCUAUACAUUGGAGAUCAAAAUAAAUAAACCAGCUGAAGCUCAAUAUGCAGCAAGACAACGGCAAUUUUACCAGUUUAAAUGCAUGAGCAAUUUUGGAUUCUAUACAAAUUUUGGCGAAAUGGCAUUUGGUAACUUAUGUAUAUUUUACUUUAACCAUAUUUACUUAUUGUCUCUUUUAUUUCUAAUUUGUUGAAAGUUAUAUAAUUUAUAAUAUUUAA